RNAcentral lists this ribosomal RNA (116 nucleotides) under Pteropus alecto (black flying fox). Lineage: Eukaryota; Metazoa; Chordata; Mammalia; Chiroptera; Pteropodidae. RNAcentral also lists the same sequence under 1 other name. The record is from RNAcentral.
GUCUGCAGCCAUGCCACCCUGAACAAGCCCAAUAUCUGAUCUCAGAAGCUAAGCAGGUUCUGGCCUGGUUAAUACUUGGAUGGGAGACCACCUAGGAAGACCAGGUGCUGUAGGCA